ACUUGGAUAACCGUGGUAAUUCUAGAGCUAAUACAUGCUGAAAAUCCCGACUUCGGAAGGGAUGUGUUUAUUAGAUAAAAAACCAAUGCCCUUCGGGGCUUUUUGGUGAUUCAUGAUAACUUUACGGAUCGCAUAGCCUUGCGCUGGCGACGGUUCAUUCAAAUUUCUGCCCUAUCAACUUUCGAUGGUAAGGUAUUGGCUUACCAUGGUUUCAACGGGUAACGGGGAAUUAGGGUUCGAUUCCGGAGAGGGAGCCUGAGAAACGGCUACCACAUCCAAGGAAGGCAGCAGGCGCGCAAAUUACCCAAUCCCGACACGGGGAGGUAGUGACAAUAAAUACUGAUACAGGGCUCUUUUGGGUCUUGUAAUUGGAAUGAGUACAAUUUAAACCUCUUAACGAGGAACAAUUGGAGGGCAAGUCUGGUGCCAGCAGCCGCGGUAAUUCCAGCUCCAAUAGCGUAUAUUAAAGUUGUUGCAGUUAAAAAGCUCGUAGUUGAAACUUGGGCCUGGCUGGCGGGUCCGCCUCACCGCGUGCACUCGUCCGGCCGGGCCUUCCUUCUGAAGAACCUCAUGCCCUUCACUGGGCGUGCUGGGGAAUCAGGACUUUUACUUUGAAAAAAUUAGAGUGUUCAAAGCAGGCCUUUGCUCGAAUACGUUAGCAUGGAAUAAUAAAAUAGGGCGUGCGUUUCUAUUUUGUUGGUUUCUAGAGACGCCGCAAUGAUUAACAGGAACAGUCGGGGGCAUCAGUAUUCAGUUGUCAGAGGUGAAAUUCUUGGAUUUACUGAAGACUAACUACUGCGAAAGCAUUUGCCAAGGAUGUUUUCAUUAAUCAGUGAACGAAAGUUAGGGGAUCGAAGACGAUCAGAUACCGUCGUAGUCUUAACCGUAAACUAUGCCGACUAGGGAUCGGGCGAUGUUCUUUUUCUGACUCGCU
RNAcentral lists this ribosomal RNA (934 nucleotides) under Alternaria alternata. RNAcentral's name for it is "SSU rRNA". It matches the Rfam family "Eukaryotic small subunit ribosomal RNA", at positions 137 to 1080 of the family's 1831-position model. Lineage: Eukaryota; Fungi; Ascomycota; Dothideomycetes; Pleosporales; Pleosporaceae. The record is from RNAcentral.